Molecule: non-coding RNA, 3013 nt
Organism: Pantherophis guttatus
Lineage: Eukaryota; Metazoa; Chordata; Lepidosauria; Squamata; Colubridae
Source: RefSeq, a predicted model, not a curated record
UAGGUAAUAAAGUUUAAUACCUACAUAUGAAAAUACCAGUUCAAUUCAGUGAAUAUGUUAAUUUUUUUCUGAUCAAUCAUCUAACCCCCAGCCCAUAUAGCCACAUCAUGUAUGUUGUGGUCUGCCAGCAGCCUGUGGAGCUGGCAGAGGAGUCAAAUAGUGAGGAGGCUGGGGAGGAACAUGGGCCAGUCCUGGAGUCUGGGGAAGACCCGGAUGGGCUCUGUGUCAGAGGCAGAGAUGGGGCCAGGGCCAUCUGGGAGUGAUGCGCAGACUCCGGAGCCUCCAGAGUUGGACAGCAGAGAGGCAGAGGAACAGGAGGAGCCUGUUCUCAGUGCGCGCAUGCACAGAGCUGCCAGAAGGCAUGAACAGUUAAAUCAAAAGGGACAACUCGGGAGUAAGGCCUGGAGAUGAUUGGCCCCACCCAUAAGGCUUAAAAGAGGAGCAAAGGCACAGUUAAAUUAACAGAAUUGUUAAUUCUGUUCCCAGUCGGCAUCUCUGUUUGAUUUUGGAAUCCGUGUGGCUUUGCCAAAUAGGUCUUUGGUAGAGUGUCAAGGGAGAUAAAGGUUGGUGAUUAUCCCGAAGGACUUCUCCCAAAGGAUUUUUUGCAACUAAUUGGGACUCAGCUGUGAAUGAACAUAAUUGCAAUAAAAGAGGUUUUUGGGACUACUUGUGUGUUUUAAUGACUCAGGAAGCCUAGGUCACAACAAUGUAGCUCGAACAUGAAUACUUGUAUAUAGAGAAGGUUUAUUAUCAUCGCUCCUGUACCAAAUAUAUACAGUCAGUUACUGUAUCCAGCAUUGUGCAGAAGAUAUUUAGGGAGAUUGUGAGCUACCAGAUUGGAGGCAUCAUCAUACUUCUAUGGUCCUAGCCAUAGAACAUUUAAACUAAAAUCCAAUAGAUUCUCACAGAAGACAGCAUUUGAUUUGGCUUUGUUUUUCUUUCAGAGUUGUGAACUGCUUCCCACAUGAUUUUCUUCACACACACACUGUGAGGAGCAUUGUCCUCACAGACUACCUUCAACAUACCUCAGGGACAGAGAUGAUCACGGAGCUCAUUUGCUCACAAUUUUGGGAAGGCAGUUUCAGGACAGUGAUUGGUGGAUGAUCUUCUGUCCUCUCUCAUGCUAAAGCGAUUCCUGUGUCUACAUCUUCAAAGCUAUCAACAUUGGAGAGAGUACUUCACAACUAUCAUUUAACUGCUGCCAUACUGAAAUCCCAACUGAAAGGAGUUGAGAAAAUUUGUGAGGGAGAAGAGUUUGCAUCCCACAGAAAAGAAAGAAAAGUUUUCUCAAAUUGAACACCUAAAGAUGACUUCAGGCUGAGGAGAUGAAGCAGAGGAGAAGGUAAGGCGUUUUUCAGCCACAGCAAACAAGAUGUAAGGCUGAAUGAGCCCAAGAAAGGCAACAUAUUAAAGAAAGAAUGGGAGAGGUCACUUUUGAGGCACUUCCUGGUCAGCUUGUCCAUCUUCCAUACUUUCUGAUUUUGGUGUAUUUUAUCCUGGAGAUUCAUGUUUUGCACGUUUUGUCCAUUUCCUCCUGUGUAUUGUAGCAAGUGGCAACAAAAAUAAUUGGAGUUAGUUAAUAAUAGCCUAGUUGUUAGUAAAAUCAUCAACUUCUGGCUAUUUCUGAGAGAGGGAAAUGGGUAUUUCUUUGACUUCAGAAACAAUGUGUGUAUAUGUUGAUAUUUUUCACAAUUGCAAUUCCCCAAUUAUGACAUCAUUAGACAGCCAGGGCUUCAUUUUAUAUCUCCUAUUUUACAAAAAUACCUCAAGAGAGUGAGGAUCAUUAGCUUUUAAUAUUUAUUCCCUUUCAAAUUGUUUCAUGGGGCUUUAAAAUGUUGCUUACAGAUAUAAAUAAGUGAUUGAUGAUUUGGUAUUUUCAGCUUCUUAAGCACCACACCAAAGUAAUGCUGAUACAAGAAGUGGGGGGAAAAAAACACAUUUUCUUCAUCCCAGCAUAUUUUUUUAAUUGGCAAAGCACAUUAAUUGGCAAUGUGGAACCACAAAUAUUUUGAAUUUUUCAGGAUAACUAAGAAGUCUUUUGGCAGCUUCCUUUAAUACAGCACAAGGAAGGUUUACUCUUGAUGUGAUCAGUUAGUUGUAUCAUCAUCAGUGUAAAAACGACAGUAUACCCGUGAUCCACAAAAUACCCGUGUUGUCUAGAAUGAUGCGUUGUUGUUGUUUUUCUGCAACAGAUGAUCACAUCUCUCUCUCUGUGUCCCUCUCUCUCUCCCUCUCUCCCUCCUUAUCUCUCUCUCUCUUUCAACUGUCGGUCUGGAUUGAAAGCCUGAAGCACCGGCUUCAGCUUGAACAAAACUCAGCAUCUUCUGUGGUUUAUCUUUCCUUUUUUCAGGUCCUCCAGCUUACUGCAACUCUUCCCAAAGUGUUGUCGGAAGGUCAUGAAUUGCUUAUGUCUCUUACACAACUGCAGCAGCAGCAGCAUUUCAAACAGCCAAUUUCGAAAAGGAGAAUGUACUGAAAACAAUGUUCAGUGAUAUUAGUCCUUGGGCUCCACUUACACAAUCAUCUUUGUCUAUAAAUUUAGCCACUCUAGAACAGUUAAUGAUCUACUCCAUAUAGACCAAUUCCAAGGAAAUUUAACUAAGAACGGUAUUGUCCCUACAUGAAUUGAUUCUGUUAAAGUUGCAAUUUCUUCAUUCGCUAUGCAUCAUCUCAGAUUAGAUUUAUCAGACAUGUGGCUGUUGUGUAAUGGUCAGAGUGUAGGAAUAAUUUGAGCAAAUCCAGGUUUGUCUCUUGAUUCAAUCAUGAACCAUAUGGAGUGAUUAUCUAUCCAUCUUUCCUAUUUCACCUGCAGUGACAUCUGCAGGGGAAAGAGGUCAACACAGAGGUGGAAGCAGCAUUCAAAUGCAACCAAAUGCCCUUGUUGAGUGCAACAUCAAAGGGGUACAACUUUGGCCACCUUGCCUUUUUUUGAUUCCCUUGAACUUGUGGAUGCUGAUAUUCACAUAGUUGGUGUCAUGCUGAGCAGGAGAGGAAUAAACAUUGCUGUAUCUCA